AAAACACCAAGAAAAAAGCCCUGUUUUAAUAUAAUCUGGAAGAUCAAAUUUGACUUGAUACUAUUUCUUUUCAAGUCAGUGAUUUUUAGAAAAUGUUUCAGCUACUGGCCUGGUUUGUUCACUCCAUUACCCUCACUGUUGAAGAUCGAGCUGUUUGGACAGGGCACGUGCCAUCCAAACCCAGCUGGCUCAUGUAGCAUCCUCAGGAUUUCUUCUCAAAUUUGCUGAAUGCUUGGUAAUCUGCUUUUGCAAUCAUCAUGGCAAGAAGUUGCCAGUUGAUGAGAAAUUUACAUGAUGCAAGAGAAGACCCCUACAUAGCAAUGAAAAUUUUCAUUGGUGACACCAAUCACUGUGGUGAGGUCUGAAAAGUGAAGCUGGGGAGACCUUGACACUGAGUGUUGCCCUGUGUUUCUCCAUAGUGUGCUUAAGGUGUAGAGAGCAAAAAUCACAAAGUACCGGGUCUCUGAGUAUCUGCAGUGAAUGAAAUAGUUCACAGAGGUCUAAAAUGCAACUGAUUGAAAAAAUAAAUGGUUUGAGGUUUGUUAAUGGAGCAAAUUGCUGGAAGCUUUGGGAUGAAGUACAUAGAGAUGCUCACUUUUUAUGUCACUUAGCAUUAGUUUAACACAGGACAGGCUAGAUGCACCAUGCUUUUUACAUGGGAUUGGCACUUUAAUGCUUUUAACCUCCUUCUCCUACCAGAGAAAAGUCUGCAUCAGCCACUGGCACUUACUGAAGCCUUGGGCUGUGGAGUGAACAUCCCCAGCUAAACAUUGAGGAACCUGAACAAAAUCAAAUGAAGCUUUUGCACCUUGUUAUUCAUUUUGUACUCAGUUUCUCAUCCCAUUAUGAAUUGGAAUAAUUUAAUUUAAAAAGGCAGCUGGUAAAACCAAGAACAUACUGAACUUGGCAUCAGUCCUCUUGUGCAAGUCUGGGACUCAUAAAAGACUUGGACACAGGAUGAAGCACCUUCAGCGAGAGCCCCUGGCUGCUUCCCAGGACAGCUGCAGGAAUGCUGCAGCCUCCUCUGCCAAACGAGGGUGUUGCAACAUGCAGCCACUCCUGAGCACAGAGGGUCUUUCCCACUAGCAGCUUUCUUCCAUGGAAAAAUGUGUUCCCAAAAGGGAAGACUGAGCCUGGGACCAGCCUGGGGGGUCAGAUAAGAUCUUUCAAAAUGCCACUCUUCAGCCCAGAGAUUGAAGAAGCCUUUGAUUAUGUCUGCUCUUUGGGACGCUUCACAGUUGCAGCACAUGGUGUUCUCCAAAGUCGUGUGUGUGACCAGAAGCAAGUGGGCACUUGGGGAGACAGCAAACCUCUCUUUAGUUCAUCCCUCAUGCUGUUAAAGAAAAUCCUGCUUCCAGUGCUUUCCACAGUGGUUCCACGAGCUCUUUCUGCCUCUUGCCACAGUGUUUGCAUGCCUCUUGUUCUGGAGGGGUACAAGGAAAGUUGAAGAAAUCCUUGCGAAAGGCAGGGAUUUUGGGCUCUUGGCAGGCCUGUAAGCAAGGCGGUUUCUGACAUUCCAGUUCUACCUUUGGAAAGUUUGUUGUCACAUUAUGUAGAAGGAGCUCUGCUUAUGAGGGAAUAGCUUGCUGCUCUUAAUUUAUGGAAAUACAUGGUGGGUCUGUACCUUCAGUGGUGGAUUCUAUGAACUUAGAGUUUCUUUAAAGUCUGAAAUUAAAGUGUAACUUUUAUUUUUC
Passer domesticus (house sparrow) is the source of this 1694-nucleotide long non-coding RNA. RefSeq lists it as uncharacterized. The transcript is spliced from 2 exons. The record is from RefSeq and is a predicted model, not a curated record. NCBI's taxonomy places the organism in Eukaryota, Metazoa, Chordata, Aves, Passeriformes, Passeridae.